Molecule: long non-coding RNA, 2688 nt
Organism: Chiroxiphia lanceolata (lance-tailed manakin)
Lineage: Eukaryota; Metazoa; Chordata; Aves; Passeriformes; Pipridae
Exons: 3
Source: RefSeq, a predicted model, not a curated record
CUCCGGACCGCGCCAGGCUUGGAAACGUGCCGGUUCUCUUUGAUGCCAACAGCCCUCACUCUGGUUUUGCACACAGAGAACCUUCAGCGCAUGGGGACUGGCUGGUGUGAUUCCCAGCUGGAACCCUAACAGAAAUCUUGUGACGCUUCAGUGUGUGCCCCUUGACACCUCACCAAGGCAUCUGAAGAGGCAAGAUCAGCAGAGUAUGUCAGUACAGCCGCUCAGAAGACGUCAGGUUUGAUACCUCAGGAACGUCAGAUUGAGCAGCCAGGAGUGAAGAGUUCUGUUGCACAACCCCGUGAGCCCAGUCUGCUCCCACCUGAAGUGCAAUCCACAAAGGCAGCUUUGGUGGUUGGGACUGAAGAGCCUGAGGGAGGACACUGUUCCUCCUCCUUUAUCCCAAAUACUCCUCCUUGUUUACCUGUGUUGCAGCUUGUUCAGCAGGGACUUGGGCACACUACCCAGAAUCUUUGUCUGGGACAGUCCCUUUUGGGAGCAUACUCUUCCUAUGCCUUGGAGACAGCUUGUGUGGACUGCACUGAGGAAAUGAUGACACAAACCCAGCGUGUGCUGCUGAGCAUGAUUUGUAGCCAAUAUUUUUACAACCUGCUUCUUGUUUUGUAACAGUAUUUAAUUGGCUUUUUUAAAAAAAAUUCAAAACUAGGUCAAUUUGCCAUUGGGCCUUGUAAGACUCUUUAGCUAAGUCUCCAGACUUUACCUAGAAGUUAAUUUGAGCCAGACUUAGGAAAAAUAUAUAUUAAUAUACCCAAAGUCUCACGUGAGAAACUUGUAGGCAACGAUUUGGGAUUCAGAGCCGUAUUCAAAUUCCUAAGACUAAAUUCAAAGCCGUCGUUUAAAAGCGGGCUUGCACGCGCGUAUGUCCUGAUCUUUAAUUAGGCAAAACUCCCACUGACAUCAAUAGGAGUUUGACUUGAAUAAGAACUGCAGGAUCAGGUCCAUAAUUUGGUACCUAGGAUUUGAUUAAGCAGCUAAAUUACUAGAACAGUUUCCCCAUGUGUAUAAUUGCCUAAUUAAUUUUUAAAAUAGCGAAGUUCAGCACUGAAUGUGGUGUACCUCUUGCCACACGAAAUGUAUGCUGUUUAAUCCAAGUUGAUGGAGCUAUUUGCUAGAGCCUGUGGAGUUGAGCAGUACUGUUUAUUUAAAGUUCCAAAAUAGCCACCAUUGUGUUAAAAUAUCAUAUUCCAGAAAAUAUGCUCUUGUAAUAGAGUUCACUUGUAGUCUAGUUUGGCUAUUAGCAUUCCAAAUGUGUUUUAAAGAGUAGUGCUCUCUAUAUCCUACUUCUUGAGUUUUGGCUACUGUGAUUCAUUUUGCAGGUGAGAAAUCACUCUGGAGUCUAGUGAAGAACUUAAUCUCUAGCAGAAUUCUCAAAUUCAGUGCUUUGAAAAGUUUUUUUGUCUUAUCAAUGAUCUUAUUUGUUUUCUUUCUGGUGCCCCAGCAUAAUGCCUGUGGUAGACUGUAUGUAUCAGAAUAAGUGUGUACUGUUUGCUUUUUGAUGAAAUUUUAGUCUUAACACUAUGAGCUCUAGGUGAUAUAUUUGCUGCAAAAGGACUUUCUUUCACAACACAGAAACUUUGUUUUUUGUUUGAAGCAGAUCUUGUUCUGUAAGAGGAAUAGAGAGAUUAUACAUGGGUUUCCUAAGUGGAAAAAUAUUGUAGAAGGAAUUGCAAUGCCAAAAAGUAAAAACUGUUCUCCCUAAAAGUAUACGUGCAUGUGUGCAUGUGUUUGUAUGUGUGUGUCUUGUAUAUAGACAUAAACAAUUACACUUGUAGUUGGCAUAAUGCAUAAUGCCUACUCAUGCUGUUGACAGUUACUUAAUAAUGCACAUUCUGCCAUUCUCUCCAGCUGAAUUCUUAAGGCAUUACCAUGGGAAUUUUCCCUUUUUGGGGAUUGCAACAGAGCUCUAGGACUAGCUGUUUUUGUGAUGUGCUUCUUGACUGGCUGGAGUAGCCCUUAUUCAGGAACUCCAUCCAAGCAUUGCCUGCAGAGAAUGAAACCAUCAGCUGUCCUCAAAGAGGAGCUCCACACUGCAGCAACGCUUAACGGUGAGCCUUGUGCCUUUGAGUCUUUCAGGGUAAGGGGAUCUUGCAUUUUAGCAUGCUCAAAGCAUGGCUAGGAGGUUAAAUUCCAGCAUAUCACUGUAUGAAGUGGGAUACAGUCAAAUGUACUUUUCAGAGAGGUAGCCUUUAGCGACCAUUGUGCUCCUUCAAGGACCUAAGAAUGCUUGAUAGGUAAACAAGGCAACUCUGAAACUGCAGCCACUGCAGUCUGAAACUGGCUGAGGUCUGCAGUCUUGCUGUCUUUCCAAAUGAUAGCUUUUCUUCUGUUCUGACAAUGUCAGAGACUUGUCCACAAAAUAAGCAGUCCUGUACCCUUGAAAAUUAGCAAUUGAAUCCACUCAAAAUUAUGAGAUGGUCCUAAAAAUGAGAAGAUUAUCUUUCAUGUUUAAAUUGAAGUCCUUUUAAAGGGACAGACUUUGCUGUCUUGGUUUGCCAGCUUUCAUUUUGCGUUUAGCUCAUGUCUUGAAGACUUUCUGUGAGGAUUAUAGAAAGGAAUAGAAAAGGUGGAAACUCAGCUUUUGUUAAAAAACGAAAAAUAGAUAACUCUGUCUUGCAGCCUCUUGAUUUCUGCAGCUAAAAUUCUCUGAAACAUUUGGUUUAGCAUCAUUAU